AGUGAACGCUGGCGGUAGGCCUAACACAUGCAAGUCGAACGGCAGCACAGUAAGAGCUUGCUCUUACGGGUGGCGAGUGGCGGACGGGUGAGGAAUACAUCGGAAUCUACUUUUUCGUGGGGGAUAACGUAGGGAAACUUACGCUAAUACCGCAUACGACCUACGGGUGAAAGCAGGGGAUCUUCGGACCUUGCGCGAUUGAAUGAGCCGAUGUCGGAUUAGCUAGUUGGCGGGGUAAAGGCCCACCAAGGCGACGAUCCGUAGCUGGUCUGAGAGGAUGAUCGGCCACACGGGAACUGAGACACGGUCCAGACUCCUACGGGAGGCCGCAGUGGGGAAUAUUGGACAAUGGGCGCAAGCCUGAUCCAGCCAUACCGCGUGGGUGAAGGAGGCCUUCGGGUUGUAAAGCCCUUUUGUUGGGAAAGAAAAGCAGCAGGUUAAUACCCCGCUGUUCUGACGGUACCCAAAGAAUAAGCACCGGCUAACUUCGUG
RNAcentral lists this ribosomal RNA (492 nucleotides) under uncultured bacterium. RNAcentral's name for it is "partial 16S ribosomal RNA". It matches the Rfam family "Bacterial small subunit ribosomal RNA", at positions 29 to 507 of the family's 1533-position model. The record is from RNAcentral.